AACAGUCACAUGAUUGCUUUUGAGGCCAACUGAAAGCUCAUGAGUUCAAAUUUGAAUGCUGUCCAAAAACAAGAAAAGAAGAUGAACAUGCUCUUCACAUAUACCAUUGUCACAAUUCUAACAGUUGCAGAAUCCAAAUCUGUACCAGAUGAUGGGUCAAAGAUGAAGGAAUGGAGAACAAACAUUUCAAAAACUAAAGAGAGGAAGAGAAGGGCUGUGGGAUCUGAGUGGAAAAUGUCUCGCUCUGAAGCAAAGGAAAUGUUUCUGGAGUACUACAAAUGCCUGAAAGAGAAGCUGAACAUGCUCAAGUAUCAAAAACAGAGCAUCACUCCAAUCAUCUCACAUAUUGGGCAGACAGUCAAGUUGAAAUGUCUCAUUUGUGUGAGACCUGAUCAAAUGGACUCCCAGAUGAUCUCCUGGCAGUUCCUAAAGAGAGCGGACGCCACCAUGAGUGUGCUAGACGCUGGCAAGCACCUGCGCAUCACAAAGCACUGGACACUGGUCAUUAAGGAGUUGGACAUGGCUGAUGUGGGUCAGUACUUCUGUGUUGAGGGUGGGGAAUACAUGGCCGUCUACCAGCUGGAUGUUCUCACAGCCGAGACCAGGAAAGUGGUGCUGGAGAAAGACAAAGGAAAUCUACUGCCACCAGUUAAGUUCCUGUACAAGUUGAACCUGAAACUGCUGACCAGCUGGACAGAGUGGAGCCAGUGCAACCACUGUGGAAAGCCUGGACAUAGAAGGAAGAUUGGGCUUUGCAUGGUCAAGAAAAUAUCGACGAAUCAAGCAACAAAGCCUGUUGACUUCCCACUGUUGGCACUAUACAAAGAUGGCGUCCCAUGUCGCUCGACAGCUCUUCCCAAAGCAAUGUCACGUCUACCCAGCAUUGCUAAGAGACACAGUGAAGUCCUGAUGGGUACGUGUGAAGUGCCCUGCCCUACCGAGCCACCUCCCCUCAACAUCACAGAUUCCUCAGGGAAAGUUGUGGAGGUCAUUGAACCAGGGUUCUACUCAAUCAAAACUCGCCCCAAACUGCCUCCUAUGGUUAAAAGAAAAGUCCAGUACCACGAAGCUGGGAUCCACCUGGUGCUCAAAUGUCCCAGUGAUGAAGGGGAUGACGGUUCAAUUGUGAGGUGGCAGCGAAGUAAGCGGCAGAUUGAUCCCCUGAGCAUCAAGAAGCAGACACGAGGCAGGGUGUACGUGGACCAGCAGAACCAGCUGCACAUCAAGAGGCUCUUCAUCUCAGACACAGCGCCGUACAACUGUUGGAUCCUGAAACGACAUGUAGCCACGAUAAAGGUCAUCGUGAUCAAGAAGUUUGAUGCCAACAUCAAGGACUACAUAUCUUAUGGUGGCUUCGUCCUCACUGGUAUUGCUGUUCUACUAGUGUGUCUGUGUGUGUGCUGUCGACGUGGACAGAAGACAGCCAGGUGAACAGACAGUUUACAGACAAGUCAUCAAAUUUCACAGAUGUCUAUCAUAAUGUUUGACUUAUGAAGACAGACAGCUCACACACAAUAGACAUCACCAUGAAAACAGAAAAAGACCUGUGAUCAAACAGUUCACAGACAACGGGCAUCAGUGGAAGAUGAACACAUGGCAACUGAGUCAGGAGAACGACUGCUUUGAAAGGUCAGCAACGACCUUGAGUGUACAGGACCCAUCAGGUGUGAGCAUGAAAUCCAGGACAGGUGCCAGAAGGCUGUCAAUGGUUCUCAACAAACUGGUGAUCAUCAGGAGUGAGCAUGAGCUCGAGGACAGGUACCAGAAGGCCGUCAAUGGUUCUCAAACAAACUGGUGAUCAUCAGGUGUGUACCUGGCACAAGGUGCACCCAGUAUAUGGAAAUAAUCAUCAACCAAAACAGACAAGUGAUAUGAUGCAAUUAAUUGUUCUUUGAAGAGAAAACAAUGUUCUCAGAAAAUAAAGAGACAUGUCAUCAU
Molecule: unclassified non-coding RNA, 1938 nt
Filed under: Haliotis rubra (blacklip abalone)
Lineage: Eukaryota; Metazoa; Mollusca; Gastropoda; Lepetellida; Haliotidae
Description: ig-like V-type domain-containing protein FAM187A, transcript variant X1
Source: RNAcentral